RNAcentral lists this ribosomal RNA (340 nucleotides) under uncultured cyanobacterium. RNAcentral's name for it is "bacterial SSU rRNA". It matches the Rfam family "Bacterial small subunit ribosomal RNA", at positions 416 to 770 of the family's 1533-position model. Lineage: Bacteria; Bacillati; Cyanobacteriota. The record is from RNAcentral.
UCUAGGGUUGUAAACCUCUUUUCUCAGGGAAGAACAAAAUGACGGUACCUGAGGAAUAAGCAUCGGCUAACUCCGUGCCAGCAGCCGCGGUAAUACGGAGGAUGCAAGCGUUAUCCGGAUUUAUUGGGCGUAAAGCGUCCGCAGGUGGCAGUUCAAGUCUGCUGUCAAAGGUCGGGGCUCAACCCCGAACAGGCAGUGGAAACUGAACAGCUAGAGUACGGUAGGGGCAGAGGGAAUUCCCAGUGUAGCGGUGAAAUGCGUAGAGAUUGGGAAGAACACCGGUGGCGAAAGCGCUCUGCUAGGCCGAAACUGACACUCAUGGACGAAAGCUAGGGGAGCG